Molecule: long non-coding RNA, 614 nt
Organism: Eriocheir sinensis (Chinese mitten crab)
Lineage: Eukaryota; Metazoa; Arthropoda; Malacostraca; Decapoda; Varunidae
Exons: 3
Source: RefSeq, a predicted model, not a curated record
AAGCUGAGCUCAUGCUGUCCUGUCUCUGUAUCUACAUAUGUGUUUGUGUGUGUGUGUGCUUGCAUAUACCUAGUUUACUUGUGCUCAUACAUAUACAUGUGAAUGUUCCAGAUUGCGUUUAUUAUAUAUUUCCAUAUCUUUUUCCAGAUCUCCCAGCAGAUACACUGACCAUGAAAGUUCUGAAGAGGACUGCUUUAGUUCAAGGGCUAAGACAAAAGCUUCCAGCAGUAUCAGGGAUGUGGAGGUAAAAUCCAAAGACCAGAUUGCAAGACCAGUUCCACCUAGGCCAUCUGUACCGAGCUGUAUUGUGUCACAGCCACAGCUACCACCACCUGAGAGUCUGGAUGUAAAUGCCCGAGAUGCAAGAAUCUUUAUGGUGUUGGAAGAACUACGUGCUAUACUGCAUUCCCACUCCACCAAGCUGAAUACUCUCCUCAGACACCACAGUGUGCAAGAACAAGAUCAAGCAGUACCAGAGGGCAUUCACUUCCCUGUGAAGGAUAUGAAUGAAAUGGAAGCCCUAGAAAGCAAACUGAUGGAUCCUGACCUAGAGAAGAAAGUUAUUGCAAGUCUGUAUGUAAUAGGUGGAUCAGGUCUUCCAGACACAGUGAGGC